UACGGAGGAUCCGAGCGUUAUCCGGAUUUAUUGGGUUUAAAGGGUGCGCAGGCGGGAGAUUAAGUCGGCGGUGAAAUUUUGCAGCUCAACUGUAAAAGUGCCUUCGAAACUGGUUUCCUUGAGUGUGGAUGAAGUAGGCGGAAUUUGUGGUGUAGCGGUGAAAUGCAUAGAUAUCACGAGGAACUCCGAUUGCGCAGGCAGCUUACUAAGCCAUAACUGACGCUCAGGCACGAAGGCGUGGGGAUCAAACAGGAUUAGAUACCCGGGGUAGU
This 272-nucleotide ribosomal RNA is filed under the name uncultured prokaryote. RNAcentral's name for it is "partial 16S ribosomal RNA". It matches the Rfam family "Bacterial small subunit ribosomal RNA", at positions 524 to 794 of the family's 1533-position model. The record is from RNAcentral.